GGCCUCGUAGCUCAGUUGGCUAGAGCGUUGGCUGUGCUGGCGUAGUUUCGAAUCCCACCGAGGCCG
Molecule: transfer RNA, 66 nt
Filed under: Schistocephalus solidus
Lineage: Eukaryota; Metazoa; Platyhelminthes; Cestoda; Diphyllobothriidea; Diphyllobothriidae
Rfam family: tRNA
About the family: Transfer RNA (tRNA) molecules are approximately 80 nucleotides in length. Their secondary structure includes four short double-helical elements and three loops (D, anti-codon, and T loops). Further hydrogen bonds mediate the characteristic L-shaped molecular structure. tRNAs have two regions of fundamental functional importance: the anti-codon, which is responsible for specific mRNA codon recognition, and the 3' end, to which the tRNAs corresponding amino acid is attached (by aminoacyl-tRNA synthetases). tRNAs cope with the degeneracy of the genetic code in two manners: having more than one tRNA (with a specific anti-codon) for a particular amino acid; and 'wobble' base-pairing, i.e. permitting non-standard base-pairing at the 3rd anti-codon position.
Source: Rfam by way of RNAcentral